AUUGAACGCUGGCGGCAGGCCUAACACAUGCAAGUCGAGCGGAUGAAGGGAGCUUGCUCCUGGAUUCAGCGGCGGACGGGUGAGUAAUGCCUAUGAAUCUGCCUGGUUGUGGGGGAUAACGUCCGGAAACGGGCGCUAAUACUGCAUACGUCCUGAGGGAGAAAGUGGGGGAUCUUCGGACCUCACGCUAUCAGAUGAGCCUAGGUCGGAUUAGCUAGUUGGUGGGGUAAAGGCCUACCGAGGCGACGAUCCGUAACUGGCCUGAGAGGAGGAUCAGUCACACUGAAACUGAGACACGGCACAGGGACUGAGGGGAGGCAGCGGUGGGGAAGAUUGGCCGAAGUGCGAAAGCCUGAUCCAGCGAUGGAGCGUGUGUGAAGAAAGGCUGCGGAUGGUAAAGCGCUUUAAGUUGGGAGGAAGGGCAGUAAGUGAAUACCUGGCUGUGUGAACGUUACCAACAGAAUAGGCACCGGCUAACACCGU
RNAcentral lists this ribosomal RNA (483 nucleotides) under uncultured bacterium. Its description in RNAcentral is "partial 16S ribosomal RNA". It matches the Rfam family "Bacterial small subunit ribosomal RNA", at positions 29 to 506 of the family's 1533-position model. The record is from RNAcentral.